UCCUCCCCGGUCAGACAAGCAGUGCCACUCCUGGAGUACGUGUCCCGGAGCUGCAGCAGGAGAACAGCCACCAUUUGUCACCUGGGAUCUGCUCACAACCCUCCAGCUGGGGGAAGCACCUGGCCCUUGAGCCACGAUACCUGGGAACUGUUCAUCCUGGCAGUGAUGUUUCCACAGCAGGAUGGAGGUAUCAAAAGGCACAAAAGGCACGGUCCAUGCUGGGCAGCAGACCGUUAACGUUGCACGUGUGGGACAGAUCACAUCCUGGCUCCUGUGGUUGCUGCCAAGCAUUCAUUGCUGCCGAGGAUCUGACAAAAGACAUGUCUGCAGCCAUGGGGUCAUCUGAGGCUGUGAUAACGUGCAGAGCAUCCCUCAGCAGCCUGCCAAGCCUGCAGAAACCUCAGAUUUACACCAUAUCCACCUUCAGCAGGAGUCAGAUCAUUUGGGAUUUGCACGCAUGGUCCUCAGAAUGGAGGUAUAUACAGGUUUGGUGAAUCAGAUGGAUCCUGAAUAUAUACCUUCAGUAUAUGCAUGCAUAUAUUGCUCAAGUACUUAUAUUUCUAGCUUGAAUUACAGAAUUGUAGGGGUUGAAUGUACGCUUAUCUUGUUAUAAGCAUAGCAUGCACUUAUUCCAAAUAAAUAAUGUGUGUUUUAUUCCCAAGGGAGCACAAUAGCUGGGCAGGGACAGCAGAUUGCAGAUAACAUGCUUAUAAUCAAUUAGCAGGACAAUGCAGUCCUUCGAAGUUUUCUGCAAAGCAUUCAACAAAUAAACAUGCACUGAAACGGAAGGGAAACUAUGGAAGAUAUAAACUGGCAAAUGAGAGUUUUGCUAAGAGAAAAAAGCAGAUGAGAGCACAUUGUUCAAAAAAGUCCCUUUUCAUGGUGAUGCUGAUGGCUUUCUUCCUGGAAAUUUGGCACUGUGGAUGUUUAGAAAGAAGUGUGCCAACAAGAAGUGUGCAGCUCCUAUGCUCAAUGGGUUUCCAUCUGGUGGGGCUCAAAGAAGAACCCCUUGCACUCCACCAAAUGAGUGUCUCUUUGCCUGCUGUGGAAUCCAGGCUCUUUACAGAGCAGGAACAAGGUAGAUAGGAGCCCUGAUGUAAGUCCUGAUGUAGAUUAGCAGUGCUUUACCUCCUCUGAAGUGUAUGUGUUGCUGGGCCUGUCCCUUCCCUCCUUAGGGACAGCCCAGGUGUGAGAUGUCCUGGAGGUUGACGUUCCCAAGCCCUACAGCUCCUGUCACCACUCAUGAUGGAAUGCAUGGAAGGAGAAGAAAUCAUUCUAAUGGAUGCUUGAUCUUGCUGUUGUUCCUUUAGACACCAAACUGUGUCCAGCUGAUGGAGAUAGAAAACAUCUUGUCCAAGCUGGCUUCCAAAAUUUCUCCCUAAGUUCUGCUCUUUGGUGGGGUCUCAGCAGUUACUGCAGAGCACGAGUCCUGUGAAGGUAAGAGAGAGGUAAGAGAGAACAAACAGGGUUUAAGUUCCAGGUCUAUAACAGUGUCACCAGUUUUGUGUAGCUGCAGAAGUAUCUGUGCUUUAUCCUGACUCAAACAGCAUCAGAGAAAGGUCAGCUGGUGGUCAGCAUCGUGCUUCACUGGGUCAGCAGCACAGCUGAAUGUUUCCAGGAGAUGAACAUUUAUACGCCCCAAGGAGCAUUUUGAAGGUAUGCGUUAUCUGUUUGUGAAAUCCACUUUUCCAAAAGCAAAAUAUUUAUGUCUGAAGCUUUAAUUCCCAGUCAUGGCAAUUCACUUCCCUGCAACUCUGCUCCGUGUUGUGAGUGCUCUGAGCGGAGGGGACGCAGCUUGGUGCUUGGGCUGCGCUCCUGGCAGCUGUAAAAACCGAGUCAUAACUUGCACACCAAGUGUUGUGAAAUCACUGGCACUGGAUGAACAAGGAACAGCUGGAUUCCAUCCCUUAAAACACCCCAUUUUGACUGUAAAGCAGUGCUCAUGGUAACGCUAAUGUGAAUUGAAGAUUGUUAGCUAAACAUACAGGGAAGCCAAAUAUGUCUGUGCACUGGGAGGCAUCAAUAGGCACGUGCACAAAGACCCCACUUCACAGACAACCCCUGCAGAGCCACAGGAGCGAUGCAGAGACAUGCUUUGUGCACAGAGACACCCAGCUAAAUGGAUUACCUUUAGCUGCUGAGAAACAUCGCGGCCCUUUGGGAGCUGGUGGAGAGGAAGAGUUGUUGGAGGAGCACCAUCACUGCUGAGCACAUCUGGAUGCUGACACAGAGUAGAAUGAAUGACCUGUUGAUGCCAACAGCAGGCUGCUGUGUGACUCCCAGCUGCUCACUCCCACUGUUUCCCUUGAAGGACCUUUCCUUGUCCUGUGCCAGCAUUGUGCACACACACAACAAAUAUUCCAUAUGGGGUUUUUCUUCCUGCCUGGAAUUUCCACAAGUGUUUUGUUGUUAGAGCUGAUGAGUCUGGGCUUUGAAAUGUGUGCAGGUAUCUUUGGGAUGGCGCGUUGGAUUCGAUCCUACCCUUAUUCCAGUUAAUACCCAAAUUCACAUGAAGUGCAGCAGGAACGAGCUUGUUUUAUGGUGGACAGCCUGGAGACACUGUACUAAACAGUGUGGCUUUCCAAAACUGGAUGUGAUUGACAGCACUGCCGUAGUGUUUUUUUUAGACUGGAAGGCCAAAUAGUCUGUGGAGAAGCCAAAUACAGACACGUUUUCUGUAUAGUCAGCAAAAAAAUGCUUCAAAACCUGCUGAACAGCUGCCAGGCUUUGGGAACUCUGAAUGCAAUACACACACAAUGGGGUCAACUGUCUACCACCAUUAAAGGUGAAGCUCUCUCAGAAUUAACAGAAAUAUUUGAGAUAAUGCCAGCAGAGAAGGUGACCGGCUGUGCUGCAGCUGCUGCAUAGAGCCCCGGGGAACCAGGCUUUCCCAAAGAAGCCCUGGGAGCUUGGCAGUGUUGAUAAAUACCUGGUUACUUUGUCUACUUAUACAGGACUCAGGCAGAUGAGCAAAUUGCUCUGUCUCCAUGAACGUUAGCAGUUUCAAAGCAAGAUGGCUCUGCCCAAUUCCUGUUCCUCCUCGAUCUGCCUGCUACAAGCUUUCUCACACUGGUGUGAGGUGCUGAUGUGGAAGGGGAUAGUGUGGCUUCAGCCCCUCUUGACAUUCGGGAUGCACUUCCCCAGCCUGUUUUUCCAUCCUGCUGUGUGAAAUUAAUUUUGGCAAAAAUCUUGAGAGAAUUAAACUGCAACAGAGCGACCUCCGUGCUCAAUUCAUAUUUGCUGCCUGCCUGAUUUAUGUUGAAAAGAGGCACUUGGGCAUGCCAAUUAUCCUGUCUUUUAUUUGCCUUGUGCAUUGAGCCUUUGGCUACUAGAAUUAAACUGGAAAAUGCAAUUAAAAGCAUUAGCUGUAGCAAACAUACCACGAAAUAUCAUUAUAUGCUUGACAAUGUUCUCCUUCAUAUUGUUAAUCCCCCCAGAUCUACCUGUGCUAUUAGAUUUCAUAUAUGGAUUUUAUUUUUCUCAAUAGACUAAAUUAAUUGGGAUGAGCAAGUUGUGCACCUAAUUGUAUAAAGAGAGAAAAGGAAGAUGUCACCGUACUGCAAAACCUUUUGGUAAACAGACUGAGCUGGAGCUGGAGAGCAAACAUUAUUCAAGCUUCAGAUGUUUGUGGGUACCUUGACAGUGUUCUGCUUGGCUUGGUACAGCUUGGAAGUUAAUGUGUAUGAAUGAAGUCUUUGGGUGAGACGAGAAGUGCUCGGGGUGAGGUAAUGAGUGAGGCUGGCAGUGUCUGCCAGGGCUGAAUGCUGGGCCCCAUCUGCUCCCUUCUCCACAUCCUCCCAGCUGAAGUUCAGCAGAUCUGAGUAGAUCCAUCCUACCACGCACCGAGUUACCUGUAUGGGAGCAUGUGCUUGUGAGAUGCACUGCUGUCAUCCUUCAAGGAGCAAACUUAGAUGAAAGACAAACUUCCCUUGCUCUUCUUUCCCAAGAUAAUACAGACCAUCAAAACAUACCAACAUUCUGACUCAGCGCACAGUUACAGUAAGUUGAAAAGCCAGGAAUACACCAACAUUGAACACAGCUGCCAAAUUCCUGCGGUUAUUUCCCUGUAACACAGUCUGAGGAGAAAAACAAUAAAGAUAAAAUAGGCUGAGAUGAUACUAACCCUGCAAAGACUGCAAGGUCAGGUUACCGGCUUUGCCAGUGAAGAUCCAAGAACACUUAUCUCUCAUACCACUAAGGUGCAUGGCCUUCCUUGUGGUAAGAAUAUACGUGAGUCAUGCAAGUUGCAUGCAAAACAUCUUUAAAAGGCAUCUCUUGAUCUCUGAUAGAAACACUAUUGCAGAGAGAGUUGCUGCUUCCUUGUUGCAAAGACCUGACAGAAGUCCUGCUUACCUUAAGUCUAAACCUUCUCUCUAGCUGUGCAAGGAGUUCCACAGAAAACAGAUAUCUAAGGCUUGAAGAGGUACAUGUGGAAGAGAGAAUCAAGAGGAAUCUAGUCAGGCCCAGCUCAGUGGUGACAUACAAUGCCUUGUGUGCUGACAAACAGGAAGGCUGUCAUCUCUGCAGCAGUAAAACAGAUGGAAUUGGGGAAAAAAAGGCAACUUUUUGGCUAACCAGAGGCUGCCAGGAGUGGUGAUACCUGACUGUGUGCUGUUGGAUUGCAACAUUUCGCCUGCUUCUAUUAGCCCUGGUGGGAAGUAGAAAGGGAUGGAUAAGCCUGGAGACUUUGCCCUGCUGGACUUACUUAACUUAAUGGUUAUUGCUCAAGAUAGAUUAGAACAAAAACAUAAACGAAACUUUCUUCACCCAGGGGAAACAAAACUUCCCUGAACUGAUACAGUUACCCAAGGUUUCUUUGGGGUUACUCUGGAGGAGGGAUGCGGCUCCAUGAGGACUCGGCCACUUGUCUGGGUGUGUGCAAAUGUAGGGGCUGCAGCCAGCUCCCCAUGCCUGGACAGCAGCCCCAGCUCAUCUGUUUAUGAGCAUUUCAGGGAAGCAAUCCUAGGGAUAGGGCUGAGCAGAUAAGCCACAACAGCCUUGUUUUCUUCUGAGUUUUCCUGAUUGUUUUAUUGGUCUCUGGGAAAUCACCAGGUCAGAAUGUUUUGAACACACCUGCCCUGAGCUGCAUUUUGCCUGUUGGGAAGGGUUAUGGUAAAACACCAGUUGGGUUUUGUUGUUCCAAGUACUGCUUGCCCUGUGCUGGUGCCAGGGGCUCCUUCACACGCAGAUUAGAUGAGGUAAUUAUCCAUGUGCGGGCAGAACCUGCCUGAGUUCCUUGUUUUCCUACUGGUCCCUCACAGUGACAAAGCUGAGGAGACCCCAGGUCCCCACGUGCCCCAUGGCUGGGGACAGCUGGCUGCUUUGGUGUGGGGACUCCCAUCAGCUGCAGACUCACAGCUCCUAAAGAAAACAGGCUUUCUCUUGGCUGCAGCAGGCUGUAGCUAAGGUCUCAAUGUGCUGAUACCUUGAUCACCUAAUUUCUUCCUUAACGAUUAGUGAAGUCUCUCCAGCUGCUGUGAGGAGUAGGGUACUUUCAGAGAGCUUCCAAUGCUGCCAAGCUUGGAGCACUUUCAGUGUUGUGGAUAGUCAAGGAGUAAAACAGCAGGAACCAGGAUCCUGGCAGCUGAUGAAUGUGCAUUUAUGCAUUCAAAACUUUCUCAAGCAAAUUGCUGACACUGAGAUGAGCUGCACUGUGCAGGACUGGGCCCAGGUGGGCACAUGCAGAGGAGUGCAAGAACUGCUCCUGAACCAGCCUCAGCUUGCAGAUCCAGCAAGCCAACACCCUCAGAGCUCAUGGAGACCUGGCACUUAUACAAAUGCUGCUGAGAAACUAACAGCGAUACUGGGAGGUGGAAUUCCCCUCUCCAACACGUGGUAAACAUCCUCAGCCUCCCUGUGCACCAGGCCCUGUGCUGCUGGUGGGAGAGCUCAGCACAGCUCACUCCCACUCUUGUUUCUUGUGUUGAUUUUUAAACCUUCUCCUGCAAUGACAGACCCCUGGAUCCUGCGACCACAGCAGUGCUGCUCACAGGAGGGGUUAGGCAUUAACAGGAAAAGCACCUUCUGCCUUAACUUGUUUUUCAGCUGGAAAACAGAGAUUUGACUACAAAUCCUGGUACCGAUAUUAACUUUUAAUGAUUUCUGUGUCCUGACUUGCUUCACAGGCUGGCUGGUUUUGCUUCCAGCUCUGCAAUACUGAGUCACAUAGGGUCAGGCUGAGGCGGACACCUGCAAGUAGAGAGUGACAGAUUGGAGCUGAGUUAACCAAGCUGCCCUUCACUGGUUACAGAGUGAGUAAACAAGCCUGUUGAGGAAGUGUUAGGAGGAAGAGCGUGCAGCUGAGUUUUCUUUGGUGGGUUAACAUGCAAAUAGCAGGUUCCCUGCUCUUCACAGCUCAGGUGAUACUGUUCUGGGCAGGCAGAAGAGAGCAGAGUGGUCUCCGCUGGGGAUAAAGUUGUAUUUCAAAGGAACACCAAGAAGCAAGUUACAAUUAGAAUGUACAUUUGGGUGGCUCCAAAAGCUGGGAUGGGCAGCUGAUGUAAGUAUGAACUUGCAUUUGCCUCAAGGUGACAUGUCUUUUAGUUCUUGCUCAAAUUCAGAAACUCCCUUGGAAAUGCAAUCAGGUGAGAAAAUUACCAGCCCAAAAAUCAGGCUGAUGGCAGUCACUGAAACAGGUGGGCUGAGGCCAAAUUCACGCCAACAGCCUCACCUUAAUUGGAGUGAAAGGAGCACUACAAACCAAGAGUCAGCCUAUAAUCCUUAAGGAAUUGGUUCUAGGUUUGUUACUGUUCACACAUCACACAUAGUGUAUAUAUGCAUGUUUAUACUUAUUAUAAGUGGUUUGUUAGAGCAAAUCAAGACUCCAAUGGAAGAAUGGCAAUGGUUUGGUUCUGUGUUUUGCAAGGAAUCUCAAAGCUCAGAUUAGCAUGAACUCUGCACCUCAUCCGUGUGUAAAGUCAUGACUCAGGGCCUGGGCAGCCACAGGUCUUGGCACAGCUCCUGCUAUAGGGCUGCGUUCCUCCUGUUUGCAAAACACUCUGCACGUGAGUCUUUGUUUUAAACGCUCCCUCUGCUGGCUGCCGUGUGAAUUAUUGCAUGCUAAUUCAACACCUCAGACCGCAUUUCAAUUGCAAAGAAGUUCCUGGGUUAACAGCAAAAGAUCUUUUUCUUUAUUUCUCUACCACGCUCUGAAUCCCGCAGCUCAAUUGCGAUGCACCUACAGUGUUUGUAGGAGAGACCAUUUUCUACUUACACCACCCAUUACCAAUGGCUUAAAUCUCUCAUUACAAAGUGUGUUGCCCUCUUAAGGAGCUCUGCCUCUCCUGCAUCCCCAGGCUGUCUUACUAUAAAGCACAGCAGAUAAUAUUGUAAUUUCUCCCUUAACAAAUGAAGGCAGUGAUGGAAAUAUUUAGUGCUGGCUUGUUUAUAUACAGCAAGAAAAAAAUAAAGUAAUAAUAAUAACGAGUUUUGAUAAAGGGAGAUUUAAAGGGGAGAUUGUAGCAUUUCUAUUUGCUUUUUCUUCUUGUUGAAUAGCUGAUAAACACAAUGAAAUGCUGCAGAAAACCACGGUGGAAAUAUUAAAUUAAUGUGAGGAGUUGAAGGCAGUCCUGGGGUACGGCUGUGAUGUGCUGCCAAAGACUGAACCAGCUCUUAUGAAAGGAAGAAAUACAGCUGGUCUAGUGCCAGAGAGGAAUUAAAAGCCAGCAGAGAGCACGUCCUGCUCCUGGAGACAAAGAAAGGAAUGUGUGGUCCUGCUCCUAGGAGGCUUCUCAGCGCGAGGCGAAGGCAAACAGGCACCAGACCUCUGUCAAGGUGCUGUUAGUGCUCUGCUUGGGUGACUGCAGCAGUUCAGCUGGAAGCAACUCUGAACUUUCCAAAAACCAAGCAGGAGGAAAGGUGAGAAAGCAACUAACACUUACUUCAAGGUUUACACUGAAUUUUAAUCAAGUGUCCUGUGCAGCUACAUACCAAAAGGUCUUUUGACAGCUGUAAAUUUACCUCUUUUUGUAUGCAAUGGGGAACGCAAUGCAUCUUUGCAGCCAUUAUGUAGUAAACCAUGCAGAUGCAGGGCAUAAGCAAUCAGGGUAUAAGACAGAACUGGUUAAUACUGUAACAUCUCAUCCAAGCUGUGCUGCCAUCUUGGAUGUCAGGUCAAGCUGGUGUUGACUUUGUAAAUACAUUCAAUCCAGUUAUAUACUUACUACCACUUCUUGUGCCAAGACUUAAUGCCAAGACUUAAUGUGCUUCAGUGCAUGAAGGAAAUAUACAACCAACUCCAGGAACAGAUAUUCCAGCUCUCCAUUUCAGUUAAAAAAUCAAAUAAAAUACAGCAGUGAAUACAUUACAACUUCAUAGCAGAUAUUUAUAACUUAGCUAUAAACAAAGGCUGAUCUAAAGCUCUGCAGACAGCCCUCAGGUAAUGGAGUUGCCAUAGAAUUGGUAAGAAUAUUAACCAUUUUUUUCCCAGUAUUACAACUACUAUCUUUUAAAGACUGCAAGUUAAUAUAAAUUACAACUUUUCUGACAUAGGGAAGUGGGAAAGCCAGGAGAACCUUAUUUUGAUUUAUUUUGAACAUAUUUUGAUUCUAAGUCCGAAACCAAGUAAGUGGAGCCAUUUGCAUACAGUGAAAUGGACACUGUGCAGUCUCCAUUUCAAGAUGAGUAAUUUAUGAAUGGACAGAACUCUGAUAUCUCUUUUAAGCGUAAAUUGUAUCUACUGAGUUGUGUCUGUGGGGGGAGGAAGGGAAGACAGAUGACUGAAUAUUAAAAAAGAAUAUUGAAUACUUCUGCAGUGUUAAGGGGACAUGCAGGCCCAAGUUCAUUCUGAUCUGAAUUGUCACUUGGCUGCUCUAAUUCCACCGAGCCUUGUAACAAUCUAAUUUGACAAAGAAUCUGGGCCACUGCUGAAACAGCUCUGGCUUGUGACCUCCACAUGAACCUGUGUUCAGAAAUUAGUUCAGCCUGCAUGACUGAGUCUACAUGGAGGCCAUGUCCCAUUAGCAGCUUAAUACAUACUGCAACCUUAACAACCUGGUGUUUUUAGGACUUGGCGAUUGAGUAAAUCCGUUCUCCUAUUUAAGUUAUACAUCAGUGAAAGUGGACUGUUCUGUAUAUAUUUUAAAUCGCAGAGGGCAGAUUGAUUUACUUUUCAGAAAUAAUCCCAUGAUGUUGUUUUUGUUCUGAUUCCCCAGCAGGUAACAGCCCUCAGCUUCCUGCUCUUUCACACAAGGCAGGAUAGAAAUCAGUUCCCUUCCAAGGAGGACGGGCAUCCCAGCAGCGUUGCCUGCAGUGGGGCAGAGUGCUCUGAGCCAGCUGCUACACGAUGAUGGACAGUUAAAAGCUGAGGGGUCUGUUCAGUGCCUGCUAUUCAGCAUUGGACCCCCGUGCCUCACUAAUGUCUGUGAAUCUGGCUUCACAACUCCUUUGUGAGGUAGGAAAUGACUACUCCCAGUGUGGCAGGGGAAGAAAGUGAGGCACGAGGAGAUUAAGCUUUUCUCCUGGGUUCCUACAGGAAGUCAGCAGUAAAGCUGACAAUGAAUUUAAUCCCUAGCUUAGUCACGGGACAGCCAUUCUCUUUGCCUAUUGACUGGGCACAACGUUUUGAUAUAGCCUUCAUUUCUGCAAGCAGCAAACAUCCUGAAGAUAGACACAGUCGUAAGUGGUUUCACUUUGCUAUUCUGCAUCUCUGAAUAUUAAAGAGGGGCUCAGCCCACAGAGAUGUGCUACACAGUGGCUAAAUCAUCUUAGCUACCACUUAAGGUUCAGUCUACAAGACAGAGGAGGUAUAGCAGCAAAGUUCCAAUUUAAUUCUCCAGUGCAGAUUAGAGCCCACUUCUGUUUGCUGUUUCCUUCCUUCCUGGAAGCAUGAAAUACAGUAAAUGCUACUAGAACAAAAGAAAGUCAAUGAACAAAGACUUCUACCAUUAAUUACAAACAAUAGUGCAAACCACACAGCAGAUUAUUUUUAGCACGCUCAGUAUUUUCUGUGAGGAGGUCACAAAACUGAGGCUUUAAAAACUCAGUGUCAUACUCUUAGCCAAGUAAGUCAGCUUUGAAGCUCACACAAUCAACCUAGAUUCUGCAGCUACGUAUUUUAGUCUUCGUAUUUCUAUAUAUGCUAUAAUGUUUUUUAAUUUAAAAUACUGAAAAUAGAUUCUGUUCUGUGCUUUUAUAAAAUAUAAGCCACUAAAAGUCCAUUAAGAUUGAAUUCCAAGGCUGAAUGAUGUGUUUGGCUACGAGACUUGCUUAGCAUUAUCUUUACUGCCCAGAAAAGCAAUUCUUAUUAUUUUUAAUUUAAGAACCAUUUCUCUGCGUGCCUAAAAGCCAACACCUAAAUCCAUUCCUGUAAUUCAAAUGUGCAUCUCUGCUGUAAGAAAUGAGAGGGCUCGUGCUUUUCUUCUCUAUCAACAAGUGCUCAGCACUGCUGCAAAUUAGUUCUCCCUUUUUAUAAGUAUUCAGACGUAGAUGUAGGUGCUUGGCUUUACCUGGCCCCUUUCUAAAGUUGUGGCCUUUAUGCCUAAUUAAGAGAGAAAGCCUGAAAGUUUUAGCUAGUGAAGAAUGUGACAGGAAUGCUGAUCUCCUUGUACAACAUUUGUUUAUAGCUGGCAAAUCAUCUGAAAGGAAGGAAAGAACCUGAAGUCUGAAAAAUACGUUACAAAGGCCUAUUGAGCAGGUAAACACUACAGUUAGUGGUCUGUGGUCUGACCCAGUUGCAGCUGAAUGGAUGAAAUCAUCAUUUGGAAAAGUGCACUUUUUCAUUGAUUGUUCUCUUACAAGAACAGACACCAGAGCUGAGCGCAGUGUCUUCCAGAGAAGCUCUCUCCUCAGAGGUUUUCAUCCAGCCACUUUAUAUAGCUGUUUCUGGUCUGAACUCCUGCAGAGAAAUCAGUAGGCCAAAUCGUGAAUAUCAUACAGCCAUGAAAGCAGUCAUCAAAGUGAUCAAGUGUGACUUCCACUCCAGCAUUCUCCAGCCGCUUGGCGUACAUCACCCCGUCAUCUCUCAGGACGUCGUUCUCACAAGUGAGGAUCCUGAAGAACCUUAGUGUAUUUAACCUCUGCUGACACAGUCUUACAUCACUGAUUUAAAAAGAAUUCGCAAUCAUGGAAAUGAAUUAUGAAUGCUGUUUCCAAAACAUGGCUCCAUCCUGUUGAUCAGUCCCCAAGACAAAGACUUUCAAUGCCUUAUUAAUUUUUCCUCGCUAAUUCAAUACUGCAAGAUUGUCAUGAUAAUUAGUUGUCUGAGCAAGGUUGUCAUGAUAAUUAGUUGCCUGAGCAGGCUAUGUACCUUCUUAUCACCAAUGGUUUAUGGUAAUUCAGAAAAACUAAUAAUAUUUCACUCAGCCAUGAACGAUACUAUUACUUGCCCCAGGCUGCCUUUAAAGUCUUUAGUAGAUUAAAUUCAGAUUAUGUUUAAACUAGAGAUACACAAAAGAAAAUUUCUUAAUUGUGAAAUGCUGCAGGAAGACAUUUUAAAGCUUUGUGUAUUAUAUAUUUAUUGCCCUUCGUUAGUAUUUGGAGGAGAUAAGAACAUAUUUUUCUGUGAUAAGCACUUGAAAAUAGGAAGAUAAGUAAGUUAUGAAUGUAGCUAGCUACCUAGGUAGGCAAACAAAGAAUUUCUCAGCAAAAGGGGUUAAAAGAAAUCACUUAGCUCCUUGUCCUUAAAAUUUGGUCCAUAAGAACUCAAAACUGCACUAAAAUAUGGCAAGCUACUUGACUCAUGCAAUCGACUCGUUUUUCUUCUGUAAAAUGACAAGAUGCUGGUUUUCAAUAGAGAGAGCUACUACUCUGUCUCUGACACUGGCACAUCAUCUUGUGAUGAUGCAGCACAAAGAACCUGUCAACCCAUAUGCACUCCUGAAUUAGGGACUGUUAUAGUGUAAUACAUCACAGACACUGGA
Coturnix japonica (Japanese quail) is the source of this 11858-nucleotide non-coding RNA. NCBI's taxonomy places the organism in Eukaryota, Metazoa, Chordata, Aves, Galliformes, Phasianidae. The record is from RefSeq and is a predicted model, not a curated record.